UGGGGAAUAUUGCACAAUGGGGGAAACCCUGAUGCAGCGACGCCGCGUGAACGAAGAAGGUAUUCGUAUCGUAAAGUUCUGUCCUAUGGGAAGAUAAUGACAGUACCAUAGAAGAAAGCUCCGGCUAAAUACGUGCCAGCAGCCGCGGUAAUACGUAUGGAGCGAGCGUUGUCCGGAAUUAUUGGGCGUAAAGGGUACGCAGGCGGUUUAAUAAGUCGAAUGUUAAAGAUCGGGGCUCAACCCCGUAAAGCAUUGGAAACUGAUAAACUUGAGUAGUGGAGAGGAAAGUGGAAUUCCGAGUGUAGUGGUGAAAUACGUAGAUAUUAGGAGGAAUACCAGUAGCGAAGGCGACUUUCUGGAAACAAACUGACGCUGAGGUACGAAAGCGUGGGGAGCAAACAGG
This 403-nucleotide ribosomal RNA is filed under the name Actinomycetes bacterium. Its description in RNAcentral is "Actinobacteria bacterium partial 16S ribosomal RNA". It matches the Rfam family "Bacterial small subunit ribosomal RNA", at positions 355 to 776 of the family's 1533-position model. The record is from RNAcentral. Lineage: Bacteria; Bacillati; Actinomycetota; Actinomycetes.